This 398-nucleotide ribosomal RNA is filed under the name Scalibregmatidae sp. NHM_2308. Its description in RNAcentral is "partial 16S ribosomal RNA". It matches the Rfam family "Bacterial large subunit ribosomal RNA", at positions 2048 to 2614 of the family's 2925-position model. Lineage: Eukaryota; Metazoa; Annelida; Polychaeta; Scalibregmatidae. The record is from RNAcentral.
UCGCACCUGUCUGCUCGCUAGAAAAUAAAAAUUACCCUUUAGGUGAAAAGGCCUAAAUAUAAAUAUAAGACAAAAAGACCCCGUCGAGCUUUACUAGUACCCCCUCUUAACCCAUUUUAAAAUCUUAAGAUAAAAUAAAGGCUUUCGAGUUUAGUUGGGGCGACUAAGGAGCACCUAAAGCCUCCUUUUAAUAUUUGGCUUACAAGCCCUAUUCCUGAUCCGUACCAUACACGAGCAAAGAAAGAGCUACCGCAGGGAUAACAGGCUAAUCCUCCUUAAGAGCCCAUAUUGACAGGAGGGGUUGGCACCUCGAUGUUGGCUUAGGGCAGCCCCUAAAUGCAGCAGUUUAGAUCGGCAAGUUUGUUCAACUUCUAACCCCCUACGUGAUCUGAGUUCAG